UACGUAGGGGGCUAGCGUUGUCCGGAAUCAUUGGGCGUAAAGCGCGCGUAGGCGGCCCGGUAAGUCCGCUGUGAAAGUCAAAGGCUCAACCUUUGAAUGUCAGCGGAUACUGCCGGGCUAGAGUCCGGAAGAGGCGAGUGGAAUUCCUGGUGUAGCGGUGGAAUGCGCAGAUAUCAGGAGGAACACCAACGGCGAAGGCAGCUCGCUGGGACGGUACUGACGCUGAGGCGCGAAAGCGUGGGGAGCAAACAGG
Molecule: ribosomal RNA, 253 nt
Filed under: uncultured bacterium
Lineage: Bacteria
Description: partial 16S ribosomal RNA
Rfam family: Bacterial small subunit ribosomal RNA
Source: RNAcentral